Equus asinus (donkey) is the source of this 4465-nucleotide long non-coding RNA. NCBI's taxonomy places the organism in Eukaryota, Metazoa, Chordata, Mammalia, Perissodactyla, Equidae. The record is from Ensembl.
UUUCAAUUCCUUAUUUCAUAUUAUUUUAAUUAUCCCACUUAAUUCUCAUACACCUCAAUGAAAUAGAUACUCCACUACUACUUUCAUUUCAAAGUGCCUGAUGCAGUUCUUGGACAUAUCAGCUUCUCAAAAAUAUUUCUUGGAUGAAUGAAGAGAAAAAUGAGUUAGGAGAAGUUAAAUGAUUUGCCUCAUCUCCCAUGGCUGGUAAAUUACAGAGCUAGGAUUCAAAUUCAGGUUGGUAUGAUACACAAUUGGUGUAAUACAUGGCUUACACAUCUUUAUUUGAGGGAUGAUCUCUUUCAAUAUUUUGUUGUAUAACCCCCACAUUCACCACAGUACAAUGUUGCCCUUUCAUUGGUGCUCAAUAAAGGGAUAGUGCUGAACACAAGUUUAGAAUAAUUGUAUUAGCCAUUUUCAAAAUAGCCAGGCUGAAAAGUUCAGAGGUGAACACUUAGGAUGGAGUCUGGUUACAGCCAUAUUUGGAGCAUUUUAGGAGAAACUAACAAUGAAAGAUUAUGUUUACUGGUCUUCAUUUGCACCACUUCCAGUCUGAGCUACUGCCUCAGAAUACAGAGAGGAGAAAACAAGUCCCUACAGAUUUCGCACUGCAUUCUGUCACCUCUAAUAAAACAAAACAACCAACCAGAAAUAGAAUUAAUUCAAGCAAGCAGAGAUAGACAAUUAUUCCUCUAGAAGCAAGAGGUACAAGAGUCCAAGCCGGAAGAACAGGCAAAGGCUGCCCCUGAUGGGAAACCACUUAUACCUAUACUCUAUCAGCUGCGGGAACAGAGGGUAGAUUAACUUUGUUCUGAUGAAACAUAAAGGCCUUAACAUUACCCACUUAAUGACAGUUUAUGCUGUACUUCUUAGAGUCCUAGAAGCUAAGGCAAACUCAAUCUCUGGUGUCUAUACUUCCUAGAGUUCGGGAAGCAUCCACAAGUUGUCAUGGGAUAGAUAACAUAGCAAAUCCCUCUCAAUCUGCCUUAGAAUCUGUGCAGCUUGGGGGUUCCCAGAAAGCUGUUGCUUUUCCUGUCUGGCAAGUCCCAAAUGGAGUUUGUGAUGGUUUAGGGACAUUUCCUAAAGUCUUGCUAACUUUCCUGCAUUUCAAGGCAGAAUGGUUUGUCCAGGUUGUAUACUCACUGAUUGGUACUUUGGCCUUUUGCUCCCAGCUAUUCUUUAUGAUCUUUUUUAUCCCCCUUCUUUCCCUGGCUAAUGAAUACUAACUGAACUACUUCCCUUUAAUCAACUGUUCUCUAGAUUUACAUCUUUGAUUCUUUCCAAGGAAGAUGGUAACUUCAGAUCUGGAUCUUACCAGGGCUAGAGUACCACCGAUCAAUGGCAGGCUCCUUCCCAGCUUGGGUUCCCAUCAAGGUGGCAGUCCCACAUCCUGGAUGGCUGGCUUCUCUGCAAGUUGCCAACAAUGUUGAGUUUACUCUGUGCCUUUGGAAAUCAGGAGACAUCCAGAGGCAAUUGUAGCAUUUGCAAAGUUUGGAGAGAAGAUGGGGCUGCUAAGUGAAGGCUCUGUUUUUCCCAAGAGGUUAUCUAGGUCAAAUCUUCCAACAUCUGGACUUUUCCGACCCACUCACUUUUGUGGAUUUUGCAGAUAAAGCAAAUGUUUUCAAACCACAGACAAUUUGCCAAGUGUUGCUCCCAUGGACAGCCUCAGUGGGGCAAGGGACUCUUGUGACCCAAACCUGAUCAACUCUUAGGACCCAAACACAAAACAGACAAAACAUAAAACCCAAUGCUCGUGGGGAAUGAAGGGAAUCUUUUCAGUGGGAGAGAAGAACCAGGAACAGACAUUAAGUGUAGCCAGGAAUAACCAGACAAUUGCGAUUAUCAGCGUUUAGCACUAGUGGUGAUAAAUUUACACUUUUGCGGUUUAUAAAUAACAAUUCCACAGGAUCUUCAUCGAGCCCUUUUGAAAAAUUUCAGUGGCAACCAUGUCCCUAGCAUGCCAAACCCAGGGCUGUGUUAUCCUACAUAAGAAGGAUUUUCUUUGUGAAGGGAAAGCCUGAAACACAUGUCUGGAAGACGCAACUCAUCAGUUGGGGCAGUCCAACCACCCACACUGAAGCUGGGGGUCACCUCAAAUUAUAGAAAACUUCAUUCUCUUCAAACUACUAGACUAUGCUGCCUGGAGAGUAAGUUUACACAGCUCAGUGUCAAGCAAUUUGGUUAAGUCCAGAAAAUGGGCAGGAAAUGCCAGGGCUAGGCUGACAUGAGUGCUCUGAGCUACAGCAUCACUUUGAAUGGGACUAUUAUUUACUUUCUUACAUAAAUGUCAUGUGGCAAAAUCAUGCCUUAUACAAACCAGCUGAAGUGUGUGAUGUAACCAUGUUAACACGUUUUUAUAGUCUUGAAAGAACGCAACGGGAUUGGGUCUAUCAGUAAUCAUGUAAAGAAGCCGAGUAUACAUUCCAGAUGUUCAUUACAGCCCAAUCAUUCGCUGGGAGCAAAGUGGAGGCUUUCUCUUUGCUCAGGAAGUCUGAUUUUAGUAAUUGAGACAGAGACACACUUGAAAUCUGAUAUGUUUGGAAUUAUAAUGCUAAAUCCCAUAGUCCCAGUUAAGUAAGUGUGUGUGUGCAAAGCAAAACAAACAAGUGAAAAGCAGUGGGAAGAAAGAAAGAGAAAAAGGAAAGAAAGAACAAGUGAAGGCAAUACAAUGGGACUUUUUCAUCUGAGAGCUUUCUGUCCCAGUUCUGCCUCACAGCACCAUGCUUAUUUCUACUGUCCAACAGCCUUCGCUGGAAAGGUCUAGGGGCAUGGAAAGUGAAUGCAGAUGUAGAUCAGCUCAACUGUAUCACCGAGUAACUGACCUUUGAAAAAUCAGACCGUUCAGUGUCCUGCAUGAUCAGAAAAAGAAGCUUUUAUUUGUUGCAUUGCUUACAUUUCAAAAUCUCCUCCAAAAGGAAUUAGUUCUAAGCAACUUCUCAUGAGUCCUCUUAAAAUCUGUUUAGACUUUUUCACUAUAGAUGUCUGUUUCACAUGUUCAUAUGCUGGAGGGUAAUGUAUUGAAUCACACCGGCUUUUUUGUCGAAGUUCUUAUGGAAUCAACGCAACUCCCAAGCCCUUUGCAAUUCCACCUGAACUGAUCUUUGCAAAUAAGUGUACCUCAUAUUACACAACUCCUUCUGUCUCUCUGGCCGUAUUGGAUGACUUACUACACUCCAGACAUGCUUUGUCCUGCUUGUACCUUUAGCUCCUGCUGGAGUAUCUUCACCCCCACCUCAACCCUAGCCCUUUUGGCUGAAAAUUCCAGCACAUUUUCCACUUGUCCUCCUUCAAUGUGCCUGCCAUCUCUGCCUUACCCCCACCCCUGCACCACCUAGAAGUGAUGACUCAUCCCUGUGAACUCCAUGUCCCUUUGUCUUCUCCUCUUGUAUGCAUUUAUGUAUGCAUGUAGAUGUUCAUUCAUAUAUUUAUUCAUUCAUUCAUGGAAUAGGUAUUAAGCAUAAUGGCAACAUGCUAAGAAGUAGAAAUACAACCUAUAUUAUUUUGUCUAUGUUUUUCUACCCAGUACGUGGAUUAAUUAAUUACGGCACUGACCCACUUUGAAAAGAGGCCUCCUAGAAACACAAGGGGAAACUCUGCUGUGGGCACUAACUAUGGGCUUUCACUAAACAACAUGAACCCAGAGUAAUUUUUUUUAAAUUUAGGUAGAAAAUAGGCUGGACUCAAGAGACGGUAGAUAAUUUAAAGUUGAAAUAAGAUUAGAAACAUAAGAAUCUAGAGGUAGAUCUUAUAAAAAAUUGAACAUGUAAAAAUACCUGUUAUAGUAAUCAUGGUUUAAAGAAGCAAUAAUAAAAACUAAAAUCUCAAGUUGCCUCAAACCACUUAGCUGACAGAAUGAGCUUAGUACUACAAGCUGAAUCAAAUGUUCUUAUUCGAAAUUGUAGUUUCUAUGAAUUGAAAGCACAGAGGUAGGAAACAAAUAUCCAAAUGUUCUCGAAAAAUGAGAAAGCAAAUGGACUAAGAAUAAAUCUCAGUUAACCCGUCUAAAAGGUAGAGAUAAAGGUUUUGCUGUAUUUGCCAUGGGCCAGAUAACAUUUUGUCAUGCCUGCCUGGCGACAUUAUAACGAACGCAAGUAAGUCUUCCAAAGCAACCUCUGAAGUCUGAUGUCUACAUGGAACAGAUGACUCUCCUGUCUGGAUAUUUGCAUCUCAGUUGGUGCCCUCCUGACCAUGACCCCCAAGCCAAAAUCUCCAAGCCAAAAAGUCCCAGGAGCUCAAAAUCAGCCAUCCUGAACCACAUUCUCUUCUUGUGUUGGCAUCAGGCUUGUGAGCUCUGCCCCACCAGGACAGCGUUGGAUUCUAGAGAGGUAGCAGUUAUGGUUCUGAUUGAAUGCAGUGAGUAUUCAUGGAACCUCUGCUAUGCACCCAGCUCCUUUGGAAGGCACUGUAGGGACAUAAAGAAAUACAAGACAUGAUCUAUGACCUUGAGGAGCUUGCUAUCUUGUUUAAG